RNAcentral lists this ribosomal RNA (807 nucleotides) under Mucoromycotina sp. RNAcentral describes it as "SSU rRNA". It matches the Rfam family "Eukaryotic small subunit ribosomal RNA", at positions 681 to 1520 of the family's 1831-position model. The record is from RNAcentral. Lineage: Eukaryota; Fungi; Mucoromycota.
CGCUCGGCGGGGCUCCCUUCUGGUGAGACGGUAUGCUCUUAACUGGGUGUGCCGAGGAACCAGGACUCUUACUUUGAAAAAAUUAGAGUGUUUAAAGCAGGCAUUUGCUUGAAUACAUUAGCAUGGAAUAAUAGAAUAGGACCUCGGUUCUAUUUUGUUGGUUUCUAGGACCGAAGUAAUGAUUAAUAGGGAUAGUUGGGGGCAUUAGUAUUUAGUAGCUAGAGGUGAAAUUCUUGGAUUUAUGAAAGACUAACUUCUGCGAAAGCAUUUGCCAAGGAUGUUUUCAUUAAUCAAGAACGAAAGUUAGGGGAUCGAAGACGAUCAGAUACCGUCGUAGUCUUAACCAUAAACUAUGCCGACUAGGGAUCAGACGACGUUAAUUUACUGACUCGUUUGGCACCUUAUGAGAAAUCAAAGUUUUUGGGUUCCGGGGGGAGUAUGGUCGCAAGGCUGAAACUUAAAGGAAUUGACGGAAGGGCACCACCAGGAGUGGAGCCUGCGGCUUAAUUUGACUCAACACGGGGAAACUCACCAGGUCCAGACAUAGUAAGGAUUGACAGAUUGAGAGCUCUUUCUUGAUUCUAUGGGUGGUGGUGCAUGGCCGUUCUUAGUUGGAGGAGUGAUUUGUCUGCUUAAUUGCGUUAACGAACGAGACCUUAACCUGCUAAAUAGUUAUGCCAACUUUGGUUGGUAGUCAACUUCUUAGAGGGACUGUCAGCGAUUAGCUGACGGAAGUUUGAGGCAUAACAGGUCUGUUAUGCCUUAGAUGUCCUGGGCCGCACCGCGCUCACUGAUGAAUCAACGAUC